AGUGAACGCUGGCGGUAGGCCUAACACAUGCAAGUCGAACGGCAGCACAGUAAGAGCUUGCUCUUACAGGUGGCGAGUGGCGGACGGGUGAGGAAUACAUCGGAAUCUACUUUGUCGGGGGGGAUAACGUAGGGAAACUGACGAUAAUACCGCAUACGACCUACGGGUGAAAGCAGGGGAUCUUCGGACCUUGGGCGAUUGAAUGAGCCGAUGUCGGAUUAGCUAGUUGGCGGGGUAAAGGCACACCAAGGCGACGAUCCGUAGCUGGUCUGAGAGGAUGAUCAGCCACACUGGAACUGAGACACGGUCCAGACUCCUACGGGAGGCAGCAGUGGGGAAUAUUGGACAAUGGGCGCAAGCCUGAUCCAGCCAUACCGCGUGAGUGAAGAAGGCCUUCGGGUUGUAAAGCCCUUUUGUUGGGAAAGAACAGCAGCAGGUUAAUCCCCCGCUGUUCUGACGGUACCCAAAGAAUAAGCACCGGCUAACUUCGUG
This 492-nucleotide ribosomal RNA is filed under the name uncultured bacterium. Its description in RNAcentral is "partial 16S ribosomal RNA". It matches the Rfam family "Bacterial small subunit ribosomal RNA", at positions 29 to 507 of the family's 1533-position model. The record is from RNAcentral.